AUGAAGGAUCUAGGAGUAGCUGAAGUUAUCUUAAACAUCAAGCUGUUGAGAGAUGAGAAUGGUGGGAUCACACUGCUUCAGUCUCAUUAUGUGGAAAAGGUCUUGAGUCGUUUUGGGUAUAGCGACUGCACGCCUUCUCCAACUCCAUAUGAUGCUAGUGUGUUGCUUCGAAAGAAUCGACGGAUUGCUAGAGAUCAACUGAGGUAUUCUCAGAUUAUUGGCUCGCUUAUGUAUUUGGCGAGUGCCACGAGGCCUGACAUCUCUUUUGCUGUGAACAAGCUGAGUCGGUUUGUGUCAAAACCGGGAGAUGAUCAUUGGCAUGCGCUUGAGAGAGUUAUGCGCUAUUUGAAAGGCACCGCGAGCUAUGGGAUUCACUACACCGGGUAUCCAAGGGUACUGGAGGGUUAUAGUGACUCAAACUGGAUAUCUGAUGCUGAUGAGAUUAAGGCCACAAGUGGUUAUGUUUUUACACUUGGUGGUGGCGCUGUUUCCUGGAAGUCUUGCAAGCAGACCAUCUUAACGAGGUCAACUAUGGAAGCAGAACUCACAGCAUUAGACACUGCCACUGUUGAAGCAGAGUGGCUUCGUGAACUCUUGAUGGACUUACCUAUGGUUGAAAAACCAAUACCCCCUAUCCUGAUGAACUGUGAUAACCAAACUGUGAACGUCAAGAUAAACAGUUCUAAGGACAAUAUGAAGUCCUCAAGGCAUGUGAAGAGGAGACUAAAAUCUGUCAGAAAAUUGAGGAACUCCGGAGUUUUUACGUUGGAUUAUAUCCAAACAUCAAAAAACUUGGCAGAUCCCUUCACAAAGGGUCUAUCACGUAAUGUGAUAGAUAAUGCAUCGAUGGAGAUGGGUUUGAGACCCACCUCAUGA
Molecule: ribosomal RNA, 876 nt
Filed under: Triticum aestivum (bread wheat)
Lineage: Eukaryota; Viridiplantae; Streptophyta; Magnoliopsida; Poales; Poaceae
Description: partial small subunit ribosomal RNA
Source: RNAcentral